Molecule: small nucleolar RNA, 75 nt
Organism: Mesocricetus auratus (golden hamster)
Lineage: Eukaryota; Metazoa; Chordata; Mammalia; Rodentia; Cricetidae
Source: Ensembl
ACGACCGAUGAUGAGAUCUGGUGGCUUUUGAGUGAUACUCGAUGAAAGCCUGGUAUCCAGAAAUCUGAGGUCAUU